CAAUAGCGUAUAUUUAAGUUGUUGCAGUUAAAAAGCUCGUAGUCGGAUUUUGGCUGAGAACGAUCGGCCCGCCGUUAGGUGUGCACUGAUUGGUCUCAGCUUCCUGGUGAGGAGGUGUGCUUCACGGCCACUUAGUCACCGUGGUUACUUUGAAAAAAUUAGAGUGUUCAAAGCGGGCUUACGCUUGAAUAUAUUAGCAUGGAAUAACACCAUAGGACUCCUGUCCUAUUUCGUUGGUCUCGGGACGGGAGUAAUGAUUAAGAGGAACAGUUGGGGGCAUUCGUAUUUCAUUGUCAGAGGUGAAAUUCUUGGAUUUAUGAAAGACGAACUUCUGCGAAAGCAUUUGCCAAGGAUGUUUUCAUUGA
This 365-nucleotide ribosomal RNA is filed under the name uncultured eukaryote. RNAcentral's name for it is "partial 18S ribosomal RNA". It matches the Rfam family "Eukaryotic small subunit ribosomal RNA", at positions 592 to 976 of the family's 1831-position model. The record is from RNAcentral.